Molecule: long non-coding RNA, 351 nt
Organism: Microplitis mediator
Lineage: Eukaryota; Metazoa; Arthropoda; Insecta; Hymenoptera; Braconidae
Exons: 2
Source: RefSeq, a predicted model, not a curated record
AUUUAUCUGAGUGUUACUUAAAUUAAAAUUAAAAAAAAUGAUUGCGUUGAUGAACGGAAUCAGAAGUGGGCGGCAGGUGCUUCGUAAUGCUGGACAAGUUAGAACAGUAAUGGUAGGAAUGCCAAGAAAUCCCGUUCCCUGGAGCGAACGAGUAAUCCACGGAAUAGUAAUCGCCUGCUCAAUACUGGCUAUCCCAGCCUACAUCGCAACAAACAUAAAAAACUACCGCGGAAAUCCGGAAUAAGUUACACUAUUUUUAUUAUUAUCAUUAUUAAUAAUCAUGUAAAGAAAAUUAGUAAAAGUUUUCAGUAUUGAAUUUAAAUUAGAUAAUAAACUAAUUUAUCUGAUAAA